Molecule: transfer RNA, 103 nt
Filed under: Lachnellula occidentalis
Lineage: Eukaryota; Fungi; Ascomycota; Leotiomycetes; Helotiales; Lachnaceae
Rfam family: tRNA
About the family: Transfer RNA (tRNA) molecules are approximately 80 nucleotides in length. Their secondary structure includes four short double-helical elements and three loops (D, anti-codon, and T loops).
Source: Rfam by way of RNAcentral
GUCGCUGUGCCAGAGUGGUUAAUGGGAUAGACUUGAACGAUUAUUUAUAAUCUAUAGACAUCUAUUGCUUUCGAGCGCGUAGGUUCAAAUCCUGCCGGCGACG